UAUGUAUCUUCCCCUUGUUGCUCUUCACUGUUUUAUUGCUACCCUUUUUUCAAAGUGACUUUCAACGUGAUAUCUGGCCCAGAUAGCACAGAUACGUCUUGCCGAUGUUGGCAUAAAGAUCGGUAGAUCGAAAGCGGUUUAGAGCGUCGAGUGGAAGUCGAUCGAAAGAAAUGGAUCUGUGAUGGUCGGUUCUAUGGGUUUACUUUGUACAAUCCUGCGUGGUCUUUUCCGUGGCCAUUUAUUUCCUGACCUAAGUCCUUAUCCGGCGACAAGAUAUUUUUGCUACAAAUCCAUUUUCAUAGAACAUAAGAUUUCCCCACAACCAGCCAAAGGAUGGAAGCAAUACCCACCUUGAGUACUCUUAGAAACAGAAUAGUUUCACAAGAUUGCAGAGCGGUGGGAGAAGUCAUGUGUGACAUCAGACCUCAACACAGACUAGGAGCAAGAAUGCCAAAGAGGCAGAUAACAUAUAAACCUCAGGAGGAGGAAGAUCAUCUUCCUUCCAAUACAUCUCAACAUCUCCACUAAAAUGGAAAGGAGGCUCCUCUUAAAACCACGAAUGUCAUUGGUUGUGAGAGCGAAGACAAACCACCAGAAUGGCAUUAGUAGUGGCAAGUGACAUAGAAGGCUGAACAGGGUAAAUAUGAAGUAACGUUAUGCUAAUUUGGAUGUUUUUUCUUUAAGUCACUAGCCAUCCAGAUCCAAGUUCCAGGCCAGGCCAGACCAGACCAUGUGAAAGGAAUUAACUUAAAUAGACAUGGUGAUUAACCUACCAGAACACAGCGAGUUGGAGGCCAGGAGUGGACGUCCAACCUAUAACUUCAAGUCAAAUGCAAGAAAGUAACACUCUUGGAAGUAGGCUGCAUGAGUAUAACACAAAAUUAAAGCUGCGAGCAGCGUUUCAGGGGGCUAAGCGGGCCAUAGGAAGCAUCUCACUGCAUGCUCUCACUAGAGAAAUGUUUUGCAAUUUAAAGAUGCCCAAUGCCGCUAGUAGUCAGGAUGUCCAAUCGAAG
Esox lucius (northern pike) is the source of this 1013-nucleotide long non-coding RNA. Lineage: Eukaryota; Metazoa; Chordata; Actinopteri; Esociformes; Esocidae. The record is from Ensembl.